This 200-nucleotide ribosomal RNA is filed under the name uncultured bacterium. RNAcentral describes it as "partial 16S ribosomal RNA". It matches the Rfam family "Bacterial small subunit ribosomal RNA", at positions 524 to 718 of the family's 1533-position model. The record is from RNAcentral.
UACGUAGGGUGCAAGCGUUAUCCGGAAUUAUUGGGCGUAAAGAGAUGCGUAGGCGGUCGGUAAAGUUUUUUGGUGAAAUCCUCCGGCUUAACUGGAGAACUGCCAAGAAUACUCAUCGACUUUGAGGAAAUCAGGGGGGUACUGGAACUCGUGGUGUAGUAGUAAAAUGCGUUGAUAUCACGAGGAACACCAAAAGGCGA